Molecule: ribosomal RNA, 497 nt
Filed under: uncultured bacterium
Lineage: Bacteria
Description: partial 16S ribosomal RNA
Rfam family: Bacterial small subunit ribosomal RNA
Source: RNAcentral
GACGAACGCUGGCGGCGUGCCUAGUACAUGCAAGUUGAGCGCUGAAGGUUGGUACUUGUACCAACUGGAUGAGCAGCGAACGGGUGAGUAACGCGUGGGGAAUCUGCCUUUGAGCGGGGGACAACAUUUGGAAACGAAUGCUAAUACCGCAUAAAAACUUUAAACACAAGUUUUAAGUUUGAAAGAUGCAAUUGCAUCACUCAAAGAUGAUCCCGCGUUGUAUUAGCUAGUUGGUGAGGUAAAGGCUCACCAAGGCGAUGAUACAUAGCCGACCUGAGAGGGUGAUCGGCCACAUUGGGACUGAGACACGGCCCAAACUCCUACGGGAGGCAGCAGUAGGGAAUCUUCGGCAAUGGACGAAAGUCUGACCGAGCAACGCCGCGGGAGUGAAGAAGGUUUUCGGAUCGUAAAACUCUGUUGGUAGAGAAGAACGUUGGUGAGAGUGGAAAGCUCAUCAAGUGACGGUAACUACCCAGAAAGGGACGGCUAACUACGUG